Molecule: long non-coding RNA, 641 nt
Organism: Toxorhynchites rutilus septentrionalis
Lineage: Eukaryota; Metazoa; Arthropoda; Insecta; Diptera; Culicidae
Exons: 5
Source: RefSeq, a predicted model, not a curated record
GUUUCCGUGUCCGUGGUGAAAACCAAAUCCAAAUAUUUAUUGUUUUGAUUCGGUGUAUCACACACUUGCAUCAAUCCAGACGACGAAAAAUCAUCAACAAUGGCUACUUCACUCUGCGAAACGAUUCGCUCAGGUUGAAAUCACCUGACACGAGCACCAUGUCACCCGGCUGAAUUAUGUCGAUGACGGAGUCAACAAAUGCGACGAACGAGUGGUAGCGAGCUAAAUUCGAGAUCGCUUCAUUGUUUUCAGCUCGAGCUGACGAUACGACGAUGGACCGCAAUAAGCGCUUCGCCAUCGGACAGUUUAUCGCUGUUAAGUGUGUUUCUGUCGCAGCGGUAGACCGAAAAACACGAAUUGAACAGUACACUAUCUUGUAUAGAGGAUUCCAAGGUUUCCCACGUUUAACGGAUUAACAGAACGAGACUCAAUUCCAUCACUAAUAGCGGAUAGGAUUCUUCACACAAAAUGUCACUGCGGCAUCGCAACCGUUGGCUGGAAGGGAGCAACGAGCGGAGUGGAGAAACAGUCUCGCUGCUGAGAGGGACUAUCACGCUGUCGCUCGUCACGAAAAAUUGUAUUGCCCCGUUCGGCACCUACAAACUUACGGAAAUAAAUUCCUUUUUGCCAGCUUGAUGGCA